ACUCCUACGGGAGGCAGCAGUGGGGAAUAUUGGACAAUGGGCGCAAGCCUGAUCCAGCCAUACCGCGUGGGUGAAGAAGGCCUUCGGGUUGUAAAGCCCUUUUGUUGGGAAAGAAAUCCAGCUGGUUAAUACCCGGUUGGGAUGACGGUACCCAAAGAAUAAGCACCGGCUAACUUCGUGCCAGCAGCCGCGGUAAUACGAAGGGUGCAAGCGUUACUCGGAAUUACUGGGCGUAAAGCGUGCGUAGGUGGUUGUUUAAGUCUGUUGUGAAAGCCCUGGGCUCAACCUGGGAACUGCAGUGGAAACUGGACGACUAGAGUGUGGUAGAGGGUAGCGGAAUUCCUGGUGUARCAGUGAAAUGCGUAGAGAUCAGGAGGAACAUCCAUGGCGAAGGCAGCUACCUGGACCAACACUGACACUGAGGCACGAAAGCGUGGGGAGCAAACAGGAUUAGAUACCCUGGUAGUCCACGCCCUAAACGAUGCGAACUGGAUGUUGGGUGCAAUUUGGCACGCAGUAUCGAAGCUAACGCGUUAAGUUCGCCGCCUGGGGAGUACGGUCGCAAGACUGAAACUCAAAGGAAUUGACGG
RNAcentral lists this ribosomal RNA (590 nucleotides) under uncultured Stenotrophomonas bacterium. Its description in RNAcentral is "bacterial SSU rRNA". It matches the Rfam family "Bacterial small subunit ribosomal RNA", at positions 335 to 916 of the family's 1533-position model. The record is from RNAcentral. Lineage: Bacteria; Pseudomonadati; Pseudomonadota; Gammaproteobacteria; Lysobacterales; Lysobacteraceae.